GGCCCCCAAACCGUGCACCCCCACAGGCCGCCGCCGCGGCUACUUACUUUCAUUUAACACCUCCACCAGGUCUGCGCAGUUCUCGCACAUCGUUCGGCCGCCGCCCCCCCCCUCCCCCGCUUCGGAUCGCAGUGACUGAUCCCGACCGGCGGGGGGGAGGGGAGAGAGGCGGAGGAGGGGGCCGGCCGGCCGGCGGGGCGGGGAGGCGACGAGGGCGGGCGGCGGCGGGGACGGGGCGGAGAGCAGGAGUAUGGGGGAGGGGGCCGGCGGUCCCCGGAGCGGGCGGGGGAGAGGAGGGGGGCGAGGGGAGGUGCGCAGGCCGGAGGGGCGCGGAGGCGCCGGCGGCGGGGAAGGGGGGGAAGGACGGGGGGGAGGGGAGAGGGAGGGAGGGGGCGGGUGGGGAGAGAAGCAGCAGAGUCACUUCACCGACCAGACGCCGCGGCCACCGCUGACGCCGCCGCCAUUUUAAUAGAGCGUUCGGGCUGCGCUCGGCUCUUUCCGCCCGAGCGAAGGAGCCGACGAGAAAAGCCUCGCGCUCUCAUUCCUCCGCCUCCUUCCCUCGCUUCGCCUCCCGCCCUCCCACCUCUCCCUCCGCACACACGCCGCACGCUCCACACCCCGCCGCGGCCGGCUCGCCGCCCUCCCUUUCCUCUUCCGUCUGGCCUCCCCGCCCUCGGUCCACCCCCUCGGCGCGUUCGCCCACCCCGCCCAGCCCGGAUCUCUGUCAGCGGCCGGAAGGGAAACACGAAGCCAGGGCGGCCGCGGGGGGAGUCCGAGUGGCAGCUAGAGACUCUGGUCUCUGGAAGGAAAGCCCCAAGGAGUACUUGUUACCGGUUAAAACAGUCAUGAUAGAUGAUGAAUUGAAAUGAAAUGAAAUGUUGGAGAGAUGCAACAUUCCUGACUUUGAAGAUGAAGGGAAGUGGGCCUUGAGUCAAGAAAUGUGGGUGGUCUCCAGAAGAUGGAAAAGACAAGGAAACAAUCUCCCUUUCAGCCUCCAGAAAAGAACCCAGCCAGCCCUGCUGACAUCUUGAUUUAGCCCAAUGAAACCCAUGUUGGACUACUGACUUACAAAACUGUAAAACGAUGUUUGUUAAAUUUAGUUUUAAGCCAUAAAUUUGUGGUAAUUUGUUUCAGCAGCAAUAGAAAACUAAUAGAAGUGAUGUGCAGAUCUAGAGAAUAGCAUAUGCAAAACUCCUGAUACAAAAUUCCUUGCUUCUUUCUAGGAACAGAAAUAAAGCCAGUAUGACUAGAACAUAGUUGGGAGAGAAGGCCCAUGCCAGACUUAACAGAGCACUGCAAACAUUGUUAAGAUUUUGGCCUAGAUCCUAAAAGCAAUACAAAGCAUUUAAGUGUGUAAGCAACACAAUCAGGUUUUUAUUAAAAUAUUCAGACUAGAGGUGCGUGGGUGGGUCAAUUGGUUAAGCAUCUGACUUCAGCUCAGGUCAUGAUCUCGAAGUUGGUGAGUUUGAGCCCCACUGUCAGCGCAGAGCCCACUUCGGAUCCUCUGUCUCCCUCCAUCUCUGCCUCGCCCCCACCCCCCCCCUCAUGCUGUGGUUCUCUCUCUGUCAAAAAUAAACAAACAGGGGCGCCUGGGUGGCUUGGUUGGUUAGGCGUCCGACUUCAGCUCAGGUCAUGAUCUCACAGUCCGUGAGUUUGAGCCCCGCGUCGGGCUCUGGGCUGACAGCUCAGACCCUGGAGCCUGUUUCAGAUUCUGUGUCUCCCUCUCUCUCUGCCCCUCCCCUGUUCAUGCUCUGUCUCUCUCUGUCUCAAAAAUAAAUAAACGUUAAAAAAAUUUUUUUUUAAAUAAAUAAACAUUUAAAAAAUAAAGAUAUAAAAUAAAAUAUUCAGACUAAUGGGGCACCUGGGUGCCCCGGUCAGUUAAGCAUCUGACUCUUGAUCUCAGCUCAGGUCUUGACCUCAGGGUCAUGAGUUCAAGCUUUGUGCUGGACUCUGCACUGGGCAUGAAGCCUAUUUAAAAAAAAAAAUCGUUUAAAAUAUUCAGAUUAAUAUGUAGAGAGUAGAUUAAAGAUAGGGACAACUGGGGGUUAUUAAUAUUAAUCCAGAAAGAUGAUGAUAAGCUUGGACUAGGAUAACAAAGAAAUGGAGAAAAGGGAGUCCAUUCUAAGAACAUUUUAGAGGUGAAAAGAACAAGACUUGAUUGAUGGGUAUGGGGAGAGAAAGUAUCAGAGCUAUCUCCAAAUAAGAGAUUUGCCCAACUGGGUAAAUGAUGCUGCCAUUCACCACAUUGGGGAUCACUUAAAGGAGGACCAGAGGGAGAUGGGAUCAAUAAUGACAAGUACUAUUUUGGAAGCACUCAGUUUGAGGUGCCUGUGAGGUAACUAGGAGUUGUUGACCAGGCAGUUGUUUGAAUCUAAAGCUCAAAAUAAAACUCAGGACUGCAAAUAUAAAAUCAAUCCUUAGUAUGGUAGCUCUUUAUGGGGAAAGAUAACUGCUAUACCUCUAGCAUUAUAAGUUCUAGGCAUGAAGAACAACCAAAGAACCAGUUCCCUCAGCUGUCCCCUCUUAUCAGGAAAGCAAAAACUUUCCAGAAGCCCCUCUGGCUAACUUUACUUUCUCAUUACCUAGAACUCUGUCACAUGGCCACCCUUAGAGCUCAAGGAAAGCUUGAGCUCUAUAUGUGUGUAUAUAUAUAUAUAUAUAUAUAUAUAUACAUAUAUAUAUACACACGUACAUAUAUUACUUGAUAUACAUACGUAUAUAUAUACACACAUACAUAUAUACACUUGAGCUCUAUGUAUGUGUGUGUGUGUAUAUAUAUACACACACACAUAUAUAUAUAUAAAUGUAUAAAAUAUAUAUAUUUUGUAUGUUAACAUAAUUGACAAAGUCAUUCCUCACUGCCAACUAAGCCAAAUCAAACCAAUAAAAUGUCUGGCUUCAUUCUUCAAAUUAAUAAAUACAUAUUUUAUAAUGUAUAUUUUAUAGAUUUGGAUAUUUUGAGGAAUAUUAAAGACACCAAAAAAUACAUUUUGGAACAUCUUACAGGUUAGAUAACUAAAGUAAUAAAGUAAAAUAAUUAAAAUUUUUAAAGCUAUACAAUAAAAUACUGUUUCUAUUAUUUGUGUUUUUUUAAAUGUUUAUAUUUUAUUUAUUUAU
RNAcentral lists this long non-coding RNA (3117 nucleotides) under Lynx canadensis (Canada lynx). RNAcentral's name for it is "lncRNA (ENSLCNG00005005615.1)". Lineage: Eukaryota; Metazoa; Chordata; Mammalia; Carnivora; Felidae. The record is from RNAcentral.